This is a long non-coding RNA of Hypanus sabinus (Atlantic stingray), 2352 nucleotides long. RefSeq lists it as uncharacterized. The transcript is spliced from 4 exons. The record is from RefSeq and is a predicted model, not a curated record. Lineage: Eukaryota; Metazoa; Chordata; Chondrichthyes; Myliobatiformes; Dasyatidae.
UUGCUAUUCACACUUUUUAUGGUAAAUGAUCACUGCAAACAGUGGCCUGGGGAUUUCCUGAUGGAUUUUUGAGCUGAAUCACCUGUAUGACCUGUAAUGCUUACAAUGCGGGUGGGGUCCUGAAGAUGCAGGGCAGUUGUAGCACAUCUGGACGGACCUGGAGACAAUUCGAUGCAGCGGAACCAAGAUGAGGUGCUGAUGCUGUUGAAGCCUGUGAUCCACACAGCGGCUGAAAAAAUUGAGGCAAAUGCAGAAGGCUAGUGAGUGUUAAGCGCCGUCUACCAGCCACCCGAUUGCAUCUGCCGGAGGAAGGGUUGUGUGACGAGCCAACGAGAUAGCAUCUGCUGUAGACCUAUUACUUCAGUCAUUGAAGUGGAGCAGAUCCAAGUCACCACUCAGACAGGAGCUGAUAUGCUUCAACACCAGCCUCUCAAAUCACUUCACCAUUAUGGAUGUACAGGACAAUCCUAUUUGACCUGUCCUAUACUAUCUAUUAAAACAUCUGCAACCAUGAGAUUUGUUCCUCAAACAUGACUUUCAAAGAACUUUUUGGACAGCAUCACCUCCAGAUCUAAGAUUUCCAUGAAGAGCGUGCUGGGAAAUGAAUAGAAAUCUUGUGCAGGCUUAACAAACCUGGACUUCAGACCUAAACUUCACCCUUCGGCUGGGAUGAGGAAUUGGUCAGGAGGAUGGAGAAAGAGUAGGAUAAUGGACAUGAACUUGUAUUGUCUCAGAGGAUCUGCCUCUGACCUCAACUCUUCCUGCAUUUAUAACGACUUUGUCAAUGAUUUCCAGAGAUGCAAAUUUACAGUGUAUUUGCUGACCAAAUUGAGUUAGGAGCCCUGGCAAAGAGUAUGUCUGCAAGCAUGAUGACUUUAACAGUUGGGCUGAGUGAAUGAAACCCUGUACAUUAGUGUACAUUAGGCCAAAAUAAGAUAAGAUGCAGCAUUCCUAAGUGAUGGUAAGUGUGAAAGUGUAAGCAAAUGGAGAUUGAUUGGGUCCAUCUGCAUAAAACACAGGACAGGUACAAGAAAAUAAGAAAGGAUAUGAUCAUGUAGACUAUUUCCCCAAGUAGGAUAAAAUACAGUGGAAUGUUUCUUACGCUGCAUCUGUACAGAGGUAUGGUUAUACAUCUGCAUUUCUACAGCCAGUCUGCAUAUCUACAAAGUACACUUUCUGAGACAUUGUGCCCAUAUAUGUCACAUGGGGACAUGGAGACUGGACCCAAAUGCAGGACACAGGCACUGAAGUACUAGGGGCAGGACAGGAACAACUAAAGGAUAGAACAAGAUGAGGAGACCAUGGCAUGCAACAGUGAUCCUGGGGUUCAGAGAGUUCAUGGCAAAAGCAGGACCCUGGCUAGGCUAAAGGAUGGGACUAUGGGACAAGGAAGGCUGGGAGGAUAGUCCCCUGGGCAGGCCACAUAACUCCUGGGCAGGGCCCAGCCUCCCAGAGAACACAGGGGCCUGGGCAAGACAGAGGGCACCUGGGUAGGAUGUGGGGCACAACCCAUCAGAAGAGAGGGGUAGGAAAGGGUCAGACUCCUCAGGGCAGCCCACAUAGCUCCUGGGCAGGGCCACCUCCCAGGCAGGAAUACAGGGGCGUGGGCAAGACAUAGAGCACCUGGGCAGGUUGCGGGGCACAACCCAUCAGAAGAGAGGGGUAGGAAAGGGUCAGAGUCCCCCCACCAGGCAACAGCAGUCCAGCCUGCUUACCCAACAGAGGCAAGGGAUCAGAAGGGAGCUCAGUCCAGGGUGACUACAAGAACAGACUUACAGAACUAGAUGAUUAACAGUGGGUACUCCAAGACAGGGUGGAAACGGGAUAGCCAGACAAACAGCGCAAACACAACAAACCAGACAAAACAGCAGGUAGAAGAGAAGUCAGAAGUCAGAAGCCAGAACUCAGAUCUCAGAUCUCAGAUCUCCUCUCCCCCCCACCUCAACUAGAUUCAGUCUCAGAGCCCCUUAUAUACAUCUGCCAGCUGAUAGGUCUCAGGUGCGCUUCCUUAAGCCAACAUGAUCAUAUUUGGGCUUAAGGGUGAAAGGAGGGAUGGCUACAAGACCCAGAGUCCGUAGUGCGCGGACCGGAUCAAGACCCGGAAUGCAGGCUUCAGACCGGACCAUAACAAUAUAUGUGCCCACCAUUUAGAACAUCUACCAUAAAUGCUGCCCGGGCAGGGCAAAAAACAUUAUCAAGGAUGCAUCUCACCCUAACCAUGGACUUUUUACUCUCCUCCCAUCCGGUAGGCACUACAGGAGCCUCUGCUCCCGCACCAGCAGGCACAGGAAGAGCUUCUUCCCUGAGGCUGUGACCCUGCUGAACCUCACAUCACAGCGCUAAACAGUAUUG